AGCAGCCGCGGUAAUUCCAGCUCCAAUAGCGUAUAUUAAAGUUGUUGCAGUUAAAAAGCUCGUAGUUGAAUUUCAGGCCUGGCUGGACGGUCCGCCCUUCGGGUGAGUACUGUCUGUGGUCGGGUCCUACCCUCUGGCGAAGCGUCAUGGCCUUAACCGGCCGUGGCGGGGAACCAGGACUUUUACUGUGAAAAAAUUAGAGUGUUCAAAGCAGGCAAUCGCUUGGAUACAUUAGCAUGGAAUAAUGGAAUAGGACAAUGGUUCUAUUUGUUGGUUUCUAGGACCGUUGUAAUGAUUAAUAGGGAUAGUUGGGGGCAUUAGUGUUCAAUUGUCAGAGGUGAAAUUCUUGGAUUUAUUGAAGACUAACUACUGCGAAAGCAUUUGCCAAGGAUGUUUUCAUUAAUCAAGAACGAAAGUUAGGGGAUCGAAGACGAUCAGAUACCGUCGUAGUCUUAACCAUAAACUAUGCCGACUAGGAAUCGGGCGAUGUUGACAAAAUGACGC
Molecule: ribosomal RNA, 504 nt
Filed under: uncultured Glomeromycotina
Lineage: Eukaryota; Fungi; Glomeromycota
Description: SSU rRNA
Rfam family: Eukaryotic small subunit ribosomal RNA
Source: RNAcentral